This 3440-nucleotide long non-coding RNA is filed under the name Nicotiana benthamiana. Its description in RNAcentral is "long non-coding RNA (NBEN_LNC039916)". Lineage: Eukaryota; Viridiplantae; Streptophyta; Magnoliopsida; Solanales; Solanaceae. The record is from RNAcentral.
AGAGAAAAAAAUAUCCUAAAAAACAAAACGGCUGAAACUUUUAAAUUACACUGAUUCCCAACAUUUGCUUGGAUAAAAAUUUCUUAAAAUUCUACUUAGUUUGGAUUUUCUAAUCCCCUCAAUUAGGUAGAACCCAUAAAAACUUCAAAUCUUGCACCUGGGUUGAAGAUGGUUUGAUUUUGGGAUUUUUAAAAGUUGAUUUUGAGCUGCUGUGGGGUUUUACAGUUUCAUUGAUAUUGCUGGUUUCUAGUUCUGCUGCUGUCUAUUGCUUCCUCACUUCUUUUUCCUUUUGAUUUCCAGGUAAAUGUUCUUGAAACUUGUAUAAUGUGAGACUUGACUUGAAGAUUGAAAUGAAAAGUGAAAGUUUUGAAGCUUAGCAUUAAUUUUUUUGUUCAUAGUUUAGCUCAUCUUUGUUUUCAUCUUGUCUGAAUCCUUUGAUUUUGAAAAUCUUUUCUUCUGUUUCUACCACCCUUUUGACAUCUAAUGUUGAGCCUUGUAUUACAUUUGUUCCUUUGGGUUUCUUCUUUUGAUAAUCAUGCACUGUGAAGGUUGAAGCUAGACCUCUAAAAGUCUUAAUAUCAUGCUGGCUUUAGGUUUUAAGGAAGUUUAUGCAACAGUUACAUGUUUACUUGUAGUUUUCUUUUUCUGCUUUCAUGUGUUAAAGGAACAAAUCAAUGUGGUUGAGAAUCUUAAUGGGGUUUUGAGGUCCAUAUAAUUUGUAUGAUAGCUCUCUGGGAUAUUGGUAAUAUUAAGAAGAAUUUGUUUGAAUUUAAGUUUGUAAAGAAAUAGUUAGUGUAGAACUCAUGUGAAGAUAAUAGAAAGACAAAAAUGGUCAAGACUGCUUUAAGAGUAUAAGCAUGUUACUGAUGUAGUGUUGUCUUUGCAUGAGCAUAUUAAGUUAGAAUUGGUGUUUGAAUUUCUGAUUGAUUAUCUAGUUAAUUUGUGCUUGAAUGAUUAAAAUUCAGAAGUAAUUUGUUAAUUCAAUGGCAUGUUUCGUCAGUUUCGAUUGGGUUUGCAUUUUACUGAUUAUAUACCAACGCUCAAACUCUGAAAUUUGGUCUUAAGUUGGCCCAUCAAACGAAUGUCCCCUCCCUUUGACUCGUUAUGCAUGUUUUGUGUCCUUGACAUCCAUUCAUUUGGGAAUUGGGCUCAUCUUUGGCCCAACUCAUAAAACAUUGGCAAAUGGAUUCGUACGUUCUUGUAUUGUUGGGCCUGCCCCUUUUACUGUCCCUUCUGAAUGGUUUUGAGAGCCUAAAGCGUCUCUCUUCUUUCAGAUGAUCGGCCAUGUUGCUCUUAAAAGCAUUGUUCCCCUUAAUUAGUUUGGAUAUUAGCAGAAAAGUAGAAUUCAACUUCUUUUAAUAUUUAUUAAUUAGAUCCUUUCAAUUAGUUGAGGUAUGCCGUACCAAAUAAAAUCUCAAAAAUGCAUGACCCUAGUUUAAUUAAUUUAAAUCCUUUAGAAACCGAGGUGUACCAUUAAGUUAAAUUUUCCACGACCCUCGCAAAGUUGAAAUACGUAGUUGCUUUAGGCACGUUAUUUUAAACAAUUACCUUCCAAAACUCGGGUGUGCAUUUCAUGUGAUCCAAAUCCAAAUCUAAAUAAUGUUAAAUAAAAUAUGUCUCCGACUCCGGGUGCAUUUAAUGUGGCAUGGUCCAAAUACGUAUUUUAUAUAAUGUUGAAUCUUCCUAAAUUAUUUAAAAGCGGUUAAUAAGUUUAAAUAUACCAUAGGCUAAAACAUGUAUUAAAAUCAGAUAAUAGGCCACUUGUAAUAACUUCAGCGACCUUGCUAGAACCACGGAAUCCGGGUGGGGGGGGGGAGGGGGGGGGCCUAACACCUUUCCUCGGGUUAAGAGAAGUUCUUAUUUGAAAUUUCUGGUUCACAGACUUCCGCGAUUUGUUAUUUAAAAUAAACCGGUGACUUGGGACACCAGAAAAUAAACUAUCCCAAGUGGCAACUCUGAAUAAAAAUGAAUAAAUAAUUCCAUGUCGAAUAAUGUCACUUAAAUUGGAAAAACUCCCUUACACUACCUUCGGGGUGUGUAAAAAGGAGGUUUAACUGCUCUGGCGACUCUGCUGGGGAUCGAAACUCAGAACUUUGGUUUAGUAUUUAAGAAUUCUAGCUUAGAAUAUCUAUUAUGAUUGGAUUUAUUAAUUAUCUAAAUUUUGUACAUGUUUGAGCCUAGUAUGCUCAAUGCAGCUUUUAUCGCUUUGAUAUUUUGUGAACUGUAUGUAAACUGCCACGAAAACCUUCUUCUCUCCGAAUCUUCUAAAUCAUCUGGGAAGUGUGCACUUUGUGUAACUUUUUUCCUGUUAGUCUUAUUCUAAAUUUUAGAAUGAGGUUCGGAUAAGUUGCGAAGCCAGUGAAGCUUCUGUAUUCCCGGUACGCUACCCCCGGCUCGAGCUGUCCGCUCGAGUAAGCCAGGUCUAGAACAAUAAACUCAGGUUUUAAACAUUGUAUAACAAAACCUCAUGCCAGUCCCUAGUAGGAACGUUUGUUUGCAUCAUGUGCAUUUGACUAUGGAGACUCAACACAUGGGUUAGGUUUGUCUAGGAUAGGUGUACCUGCAAUGAAAAGACCUUCUGAUGCAUCCAACUUGCUACUUGUGCCUUUAUUGGCUUCGGGUUGCAUGUUGUCCGGCUUGUGAAUAAUAGGGAAAAGUUGGGAAAAGAAAAUAGCAAUGUGAGGGCUAAGAGAGAUAAUUACCAUUUUUGAAACACCAACGUCCAAAAGGUAUUGACUCUCAGCCGAAUUUUUGAAAACGGAGAGAAAAAAAGAAAAUCUUGUUUCCAAAAAUAGUUGGUUUUGUUUUCAUUUUGUCAAAUCUGCACGAACUACACUGGUUUGAUUCUCAUCGGAUGCGGGAUACGUAGGCAAUCCCCAUCGAGUCCAACUUUCCUUUUGCAAAAUAGCCUAAAAAGAACAAAAAAAUUUAUUUUUUAUUUCAAAUAAGAAGGGUGAUGCCAUUGUUGUUUAAAAUAAGCCGAAUGUCCUCAAAAGGGGCCAAAAGGCCAUUUUUGCAAGAACAACCACCUUUGGUCAUUUUUCUAAUUCUUGGUCGGUUAGCAAGCACAACAUUAAAAUCUUCUUUCCUAAAGUGCUGAAAGGCCAUAUUUGCAAAGCUAGGUUUUAUUUUUGAAAUGAAAAUUUUGAAAAAUAGUGUUUACCUUUUUUUGUUUUUUAGUCAAAAUGAGUUAUUAAAUUACCCUAAUAAAUGUGCAGGAUGAAUACAAAUGAAAAUGAACCCUUCGCAGCUCUUAAAGAGAUCCCCUUACAGCUCCACUAAUGGUGGAAUAAUUUGGGAAAAGGUAGUAGAGAAACUGUGGUAAAGGUUUUGGGUGGUCUUAUCGGACUUUUGAACAUCAAGCUAAGAUUGGACUGAUUGAAGCCCUGAUACCUUUCUGGGAUCCGACUCGCAAUAUAUUCCGUUUUUCUGACUUUGAG